Molecule: ribosomal RNA, 373 nt
Filed under: uncultured archaeon
Lineage: Archaea
Description: bacterial SSU rRNA
Rfam family: Archaeal small subunit ribosomal RNA
Source: RNAcentral
CGACUGCUAUCAGAGUGGGACUAAGCCAUGCGAGUCAACGCUGAAAGGCGUGGCAUACGGCUCAGUAACACGUAGUCAACAUGCCCAAAGGACGUGGAUAACCUCGGGAAACUGAGGAUAAACCGCGAUAGGCCAAGGUUUCUGGAAUGAGCCAUGGCCGAAAUCUACAUGGCCUUUGGAUUGGACUGCGGCCGAUCAGGCUGUUGGUGAGGUAAUGGCCCACCAAACCUGUAACCGGUACGGGCUUUGAGAGAAGGAGCCCGGAGAUGGGCACUGAGACAAGGGCCCAGGCCCUAUGGGGCGCAGCAGGCGCGAAACCUCUGCAAUAGGCGAAAGCCUGACAGGGUUACUCUGAGUGAUGCCCGCUAAGGGU